This 207-nucleotide unclassified non-coding RNA is filed under the name Hevea brasiliensis (rubber tree). The record is from RNAcentral. Lineage: Eukaryota; Viridiplantae; Streptophyta; Magnoliopsida; Malpighiales; Euphorbiaceae.
GCUCUGGUUCGCAGUAGGGGCCUCCUUAUCUUAUUCAGUGGAAGCUCCAAAAUCACUGGGCCCCCAUUUUGUGAUUUACCAAUAUCAUUGCCAGGAGCAGCCCCGUUGGAUGAUGCUGAGAUAGAGAAGCUCCUGCAGCUGGUUGCUGGCAGUCGCAGAACAAAAUUCGCCAUUUUUGCAAUAUAUUUUCUUCUCUCUCAGUUUCUG